GUGCACAUAGUGUAUCUCUUUUCUUUACUAUUAAUCGGUAUUGGAAUAAGGGCUGGGAAAGACCGGUGCCAGCCGCCGCGGUAAUACCGGCAGCUCGAGUGGUCGUCACUUUUAUUGGGCCUAAAACGUCCGUAGCCGGUUUGGUAAAUCUGUGGGUAAAUCAACUAGCUUAACUAGUUGAAUUCUGCAGAGACUGCCAGACUAGGAACCGGGAGAGGUGUGGGGUACUCAAGGGGUAGGGGUAAAAUCCUGUCAUCCUUUGAGGACCACCAGUUGCGAAGGCGCCACACUAGAACGGAUUCGACGGUCAGGGACGAAGCCUAGGGGCACGAACCGGAUUAGAUACCCGGGUAGUCCUAGGUGUAAACGCUGUGAACUUGGUGUCGGGAGUCCGCAAUGGGCCCCCGGUGCCGGAGUGAAGAUGUUAAGUUCACUGCCUGGGGAGUACGGUCGCA
RNAcentral lists this ribosomal RNA (455 nucleotides) under uncultured euryarchaeote. Its description in RNAcentral is "bacterial SSU rRNA". It matches the Rfam family "Archaeal small subunit ribosomal RNA", at positions 390 to 845 of the family's 1478-position model. The record is from RNAcentral. Lineage: Archaea; Methanobacteriati; Methanobacteriota.